UACAGAGGAGCCAAGCGUUGUCCGGAUUGACUGGGCGUAAAGCGCACGCAGGCGGACGCGCGCGUGGGGUGUGAAAUCUGGCCGCUUAACGGCCAGCGGCCAUCCCAUACGGCUGGUCUGGAGCGAUGCAGAGGUCGGUGGAAUUGCCGGUGUAGUGGUGAAAUGCGUAGAUAUUGCUCGGAAGGCCAGAGCCGAAGGGGCCCCAUUGGUACGUAACUGACGCUGAGGCACGAAAGCGUGGGGAGCAAACAGG
Molecule: ribosomal RNA, 253 nt
Filed under: uncultured bacterium
Lineage: Bacteria
Description: partial 16S ribosomal RNA
Rfam family: Bacterial small subunit ribosomal RNA
Source: RNAcentral